This 3478-nucleotide long non-coding RNA is filed under the name Mus musculus (house mouse). Its description in RNAcentral is "long non-coding RNA chr12:13380965-13384443". Lineage: Eukaryota; Metazoa; Chordata; Mammalia; Rodentia; Muridae. The record is from RNAcentral.
CUUGGUCUGUCCACGCUAUACAAUAAAAUGUGAGGGAGAAAAUAGAUUGCCUUGUAAAAACAUUGCCAAGAGAUUUCAAAGAUAUUUUCAACUAUAUGAGAUCCAAAUGGCCCAUAAGCAAUCUGGCAAAUGUUUGGCCCGUUCUAAUCAUUUUUGAGUGGACUCACAGCAAAGCCUCAGUGGGAAGAACCUGUGACUUUGCACUGAGUGAGGCAGUAGGUGGAGAGUGUAAUAGAAGAGGCUCACGUAAAGGUAAAUAUUCGGAACAAGGUGAUUCUGGGAUAGAGUCAGAGCUUGGAUGUGCUCCCUCUGUGUGUAUGAGGAAGAUUCUGUCCUGCUGGGAAGGGAUACAGGAUAAAGAAGACUGAGUGGAAUCUUAAGUCCUGGUGGAACAGGGAACACACUUUCUGGCAGCAGGAUUAAAUGAUGAAUUAUUAGAGAUACAAUUGAGUCUGAAAGCAGAAGAAAUGAAAUUCCAAUCCUAAUAAGAUAGUGAUAGUACUCAGCUUACACGCCAAGUACAAUGGAAUUCUUUGUGCCAGGGAUGUCCUAGCAUUUUGUGCCUUUCUCUACUCACUGUCCCCAUCUCUUGUAUAGUGUUUUAUUAACAAACAUAUGUUCCUUAGGUUUUCUUGUAGGUUGUACAUUACUGCUAAAGUGAUUUAAAUGGGAAGGAAUGCACACACCAUCGCCUUGAUAAUUACUGACUGACUUAAAAAGGGGUCAGUGUUCCCAGGGUGGUGCUGGGUAACUCUAGGACCUGUGCCUCCACAGUUGGAAAGCCUUGUUCCUGCUGUUGAGCUCAUUUGCUUCUCAUGUGCUCAGUGUGAGCUUCUACCCAUGUCGAGCUACUCACUGUGAAUAUUUAAGAGAACGUGCUCUUACUUUCAAAAUUGUCAGCUUGCUAGUUGUCUUAAUACGUGAGUGUUCCUAAGCCUUCAACACCUCUAAAACAGGCUCAUAUAUAUCAUAAAUGAUGGCGGAGACUCACGUUCAUCAUGAGUCGGGUAGUUACCAUCUUGAGUGUCGUACUGUCUAUACUUGGGUUGUGGGAAUCCAUCUCAAGUACACACUUGUAACUAAUACCAUAGAUGUUACUCAGGCAUCUUAUUAGCUUGCUAAAUUCUUGUUUCUUAAAAUCCUGCUUUUGAUUCUUAUUUAUGGGAUAUAUUCUGAAAAGGGCCAUUGUAAAUGAUGUGUUAUAAUUUAUUUUAAUUAGGAUCUCCACUUAUGGCUAGCCAUGUGUGAGGGAACAUUUAUACCAUCUGUCCUAGUGCUGAUAGCUUCCAGAGGAACAGCUGGGCUGUGAGACUUGUGUUCAGCCUGACAAAGCCAGGGUCUGAUUUUGUGGAGCUAAUAAGGUGGACAGUAACUUCAAACAUUUUGUUACUUCACUGCCUGUAAGCCAAAUCUGAAAGGAGUCUUACAAGUUUUUGAAGUCUAUGAAAAACAUUCAAGGAGCUGGAUGAAAAUGCUGUAUAUUCUAUAUAGGUUAUUCUGGAAUACUUAAAGAAGCAGCAAUGUGUUGUAUAUGUUUGUGUGUCUCUUAAGUAUGUGUCCUCGUGUACUGCAUAGCACAUAAACAAAAAGAAUUGUUCAUUUCAUGUAAUAAUAGAAGCUAUCAUGGACAGUGAGGCAUGUGCCCAUUAAAUUUUUAGCAUGGUUACCAGGGCAGUUGUUGUCCCAGCUCCUUGAGGGCAGAGGCAGAAGAACUGCUCAGGCCCAGGCCUUGAGGCUAGGCCAUGCAACAUAGUGAGUCCCAGCCUCCAAAAGCAGAGGUGCUCAGGGAAAAUGUUUUUAACUUACUAUAUACUUAGCAUCUACCCUGUUCAUUUAAGCAUAUAACAGAUAGAAAUGGUGGGCAUUGUUGUGGUUGGCAUAGCAUCUCACUUUGUAGAUCAGGCUGCCUUGGAAUUAUGAUCCCCCUGCAUCAGCCUCUUGAGUGCUGGGAUAAUAGGUGCAUACCACAGCACCUGGUAACAGUGAUGACUUUAAAUGAUAAUAUAUUGAGAUAUACAAGAUUCAUGUAAAAGAAACUGUUUUAUACUUGGCAAACCCAAACUAUUUUCAAAUGUUGAGUUCUGUUAUUGUCCAGAACUUUGUAAUUAGAGGUAAACACAGUGAUUCCAUGCUCAGGUAAAUUCUAUCUAGUAAGAUGAACAGAGAGAGAAACAAAGAAACCUACAGCAUGUUCCCCUUCCUACUGCUUUAUAACAUAAUAUAAAACAAAAUGUCUUUAAGACCUAAAAUCCACACUUUCAUUCACAUCUCUCAAAUAAUCAGGAAACAUGUGUGCCUUUUAUAUAUUGGACUUUAAGUUACAGAGAAGGGAGCCUACAAGUCAGAUGAAAACACUGAACUCCAUGCAGGUUAUUGAGCUCAUUUGUAUGUUAGGGGCAUCUUGCAUGUCUGCAGCUGCCCAAAGUUAAUCUUACCAUUCCUCACGAUCCUGUGACUUGGCCUUUGAGGAAAGAAUGUUUAAUCCAGCACCAUGCUGCCUUCAUACCACAAAUUCAUAACUGUGAGUAAAACUGUUAGCAAACCCUCCUUCCCUGCAGCUUGGGGACAGCCAUAAUGUGGCUUUUCAUCAUGGGAUUGUGAAGCCCUCACUGGCUCUGCAGAACUGCUCAGGUUGAUAAAUUGCCUGUGUAUAUAUGUAGAAUACUGUUCUCUGAGCAUGAUAGCCAUCAACUCCUUCAGAGCAGCUCUGGUUCUUUGCUUCUGGACUGUUGAUGUUCCCUAUAGAAGGGGGGAAGGGGGCCUUAUUGGACCAUUCCCUCCUAUACUUUCCAGUCAGCUGUGUAUUAUUCUGCCCUGAUUUCAUAUGGAUUCCUGAUCUGGGGAACACUAGCGUAUACAUACUGUGGAAGGUUAAUAGAUGGUGUCUGACUUCCAUUAUUUUGCAAUCGGGAGGAAAGUGAGACUUUUCCACGGUAUAGCUGCUUUUGGGUCACUUUUGUACCUGUAAUUGACCCCAAUACAUUCAUGCAUUCACCAAAGUAAGCUGGUUUGUGGGGGAAGUGUGUUUAUGUCUCCCCAUGGAGAGAGUUUCUGCAACAUUGGAUGGAGGUGGCAGUAUUCAACAGAACGAAAGAUAAGUUUGGGAAGAGCAGUGGCAUUUUCUUGUUAUCAGUUUUAGACAGCUGAAACUAUGCUGUCUGAGGGUAGAUAAUCUAUAGCAGGUAUUAGAUAUGAAAUCUCCCCAUCUGGUGUGGAAUAUUAGGUCAGUCUCUUUAUUGUAGUCACUGGAAGGUAACUGUUUGAGAGGCCAGAGUGACUACACAGAGGAACUUUCAUGUAUAAAGGCAAAACUACAGGGGGACACGCAGCUAUAGUCCUUCACUCUAGCCUGUUGUUUCAAAAGGAAACUGGGGGAAAAAAGUGGGAGGAUAAAAUGGAAGUGUUGGCUUGCACAUAUUAAACGUAGAGGACACUCAAAGCUUGAAGAGAUUACAGAUCUCCAUUCAAGAAGCCCUCC